CCUGGCUUAGAUUGAACGCUGGCGGCGUGCGUUAACACAUGCAAGUCGAACGCGAAAGGGACUUCGGUCCUGAGUAAAGUAGGCGCACGGGUGAGUAACGCGUGGAUAAUCUGCCCUUAUGAUCGGAUAACAGUUGGAAACGGCUGCUAAUACCGGAUACGCUCAAAAUGAACUUUUUGAGGAAAGAUGGCCUCUGCUUGCAUGCUAUCGCGUAAGGAUGAGUCCGCGUCCCAUUAGCUUGUUGCGGGUAACGGCCCACCAAGGCAACGAUGGGUAGCCGAUUUGAGAGGAUGAUCGGCCACACUGGAACUGAAACACGGUCCAGACUCCUACGGGAGGCAGCAGUGGGGAAUAUUGCGCAAUGGGCGAAAGCCUGACGCAGCGACGCCGCGUGAGGGAUGAAGGUUUUCGGAUCGUAAACCUCUGUCAGAAGGGAAGAAACUACAUUGUGCUAAUCAGCAGUGUACUGACGGUACCUUCAAAGGAAGCACCGGCUAACUCCGUGCCAGCAGCGGC
This 516-nucleotide ribosomal RNA is filed under the name uncultured bacterium. RNAcentral's name for it is "bacterial SSU rRNA". It matches the Rfam family "Bacterial small subunit ribosomal RNA", at positions 18 to 518 of the family's 1533-position model. The record is from RNAcentral.